RNAcentral lists this transfer RNA (72 nucleotides) under Clonostachys rogersoniana. Its description in RNAcentral is "tRNA-Glu". Lineage: Eukaryota; Fungi; Ascomycota; Sordariomycetes; Hypocreales; Bionectriaceae. The record is from RNAcentral.
UACCUAAUCGAUUAAUGGGCAAAUCUUGAACUUUUGGUGUUCACAAUGGGUGUUCGAAUCACCCUUAGGUAA